GACGAACGCUGGCGGCGUGCUUAACACAUGCAAGUCGAACGGAAAGGCCCUGCUUUUGUGGGGUGCUCGAGUGGCGAACGGGUGAGUAACACGUGAGUAACCUGCCCUUGACUUUGGGAUAACUUCAGGAAACUGGGGCUAAUACCGGAUAGGAGCUCCUGCUGCAUGGUGGGGGUUGGAAAGUUUCGGCGGUUGGGGAUGGGCUCGCGGCUUAUCAGCUUGUUGGUGGGGUAGUGGCUUACCAAGGCUUUGACGGGUAGCCGGCCUGAGAGGGUGACCGGCCACAUUGGGACUGAGAUACGGCCCAGACUCCUACGGGAGGCAGCGGUGGGGAAUAUUGCACAAUGGGAGGAAGCCUGAUGCAGCAACGCCGCGUGCGGGAUGACGGCCUUCGGGUUGUAAACCGCUUUCGCCUGUGACGAAGCGUGAGUGACGGUAAUGGGUAAAGAAGCACCGGCUAACUACGUG
Molecule: ribosomal RNA, 468 nt
Filed under: uncultured bacterium
Lineage: Bacteria
Description: partial 16S ribosomal RNA
Rfam family: Bacterial small subunit ribosomal RNA
Source: RNAcentral